This 258-nucleotide ribosomal RNA is filed under the name bacterium enrichment culture clone TC60b_11193. Its description in RNAcentral is "partial 16S ribosomal RNA". It matches the Rfam family "Bacterial small subunit ribosomal RNA", at positions 28 to 285 of the family's 1533-position model. The record is from RNAcentral.
GACGAACGCUGGCGGCGUGCUUAACACAUGCAAGUCGAGCGAUGAAGCUUCCUUCGGGAAGUGGAUUAGCGGCGGACGGGUGAGUAACACGUGGGUAACCUGCCUCAAAGUGGGGGAUAGCCUUCCGAAAGGAAGAUUAAUACCGCAUAAUAUGAGAAAAUCGCAUGAUUUUCUUAUCAAAGAUUUAUUGCUUUGAGAUGGACCCGCGGCGCAUUAGCUAGUUGGUAAGGUAACGGCUUACCAAGGCAACGAUGCGUA